AAUUAGCAGCACAAGAGGUACCCGGAACUAUAUCGUCACUGAAGCUGUCAUUCAUGGAGAUGAACGAUCUAACCAGCCAGCUAAAGAAAAUUAGGCACAUUUUCACAACAAAUAGAUCUGGGAAGGAUAGAUGACUAAUGUGGCAGCAUGAUCACGGACUGGAUUCCAAAACAGGGACGUGUGUGAAUUCUUUAAUCUGUAGCGAUGUCUUAAUUGUUAGUACGUGCUACUUUGUUAGAUUAUUACUUGUGCCUCGAUUUCUUGACCAUGUGAUGCAUGUUGUCAGUAUUGCUGGACACUGUAGAAACAUGCGCCUGAUAAUUGCUGUGGUGCCCAA
Triticum dicoccoides is the source of this 337-nucleotide long non-coding RNA. RefSeq lists it as uncharacterized. NCBI's taxonomy places the organism in Eukaryota, Viridiplantae, Streptophyta, Magnoliopsida, Poales, Poaceae. The transcript is spliced from 2 exons. The record is from RefSeq and is a predicted model, not a curated record.